GGGUUUGGGUUUAGAGUUUACGGUUUGGGUUUAGGGUCUAGGAUUUGGGUUUACAGUUUGGGUUUAGGGUUUAGGAUUUGGGUUUAUAGUAUAGGGUUUGGGUUUAGGGUUUACUAUUUGGGUUUAGGGUAUAGGGUUUGAGUUUGGUAUUUAGGGGUUAGAUUUAGAUUUAUGGUUUAGAAUUUAGGAUUUAGGGUUUUGUUAGGCAUCAUUCUUUUUUCAACUAUUUUAAUAUUUUAAAAAUAAAAUUUAAUAUUUUUUAAUAAUUAUUUAGGUGACACUUUGAGAGGAUGUAAAAGAGAUGGUGAAUUUAAAGGUACUAUAUGGAUGAACCUAAGUUUUGUCCGUAAAUUAAUUUGUUGUUAUAUUUCAACGAAGAUGGGUCCCCAAACACCACCAGCGCACGAGACAGCUUUACUCCACUUAUUUUUUCUGUAGGAAAGAAAAAUCUACUUGAGAAAAUAAUUUACGCAUUAUCUUUUAUUAUCACCAACAUCAUCAUCAAAAAAUGUAUUAAAUUUUUAUUUUAUUUAUUAGAUCACAUUCCUUAGGAUUCUGUUCUGUAAAAGUCACAUGAUCCAACUUUCACUUUGAUCUUUUGCUUCCUCUGUUGGCAAUCAUUAUCAUCGUCAUGACCUGUUUUUUUCUUUUUCUGCCUUCAUAUUUAUUU
RNAcentral lists this long non-coding RNA (670 nucleotides) under Brassica napus (rape). Its description in RNAcentral is "long non-coding RNA (BNAP_LNC017162)". The record is from RNAcentral. Lineage: Eukaryota; Viridiplantae; Streptophyta; Magnoliopsida; Brassicales; Brassicaceae.